AACCUGGUUGAUCCUGCCAGUAGUCAUAUGCUUGUCUCAAAGAUUAAGCCAUGCAUGUCUCGGCAUAAACCUACGUAUGGUGAAGCUGCGAAUGGCUCAUUAGAACAGUUGUGGCUUAUCUGGUACUUGAAAGAUAGAUGGAUAACUGUGGUAAUUCUAGGGCUAAUACAUGCGUAAAAACCGGACUUCGAGGAACGGUUGUACUUAUUAGACAAAGAACUAAUCCGUUUCGGCGGCAUUUAGAUGAAUCAUAAUAAAAGCAUGGAGCGUAUGACUUGUGUCGGCGCUACACCAUUCAAGUUUCUGACCUAUCAGCUUUCGACGGCAGGGUAUUGGCUUACCGUGGCAUUGACGGGUAACGGGGAAUUAGGGUUCGAUUCCGGAGAGGAAGCCCGAGAAACGGCUACCACAUCUAAGGAAGGCAGCAGGCGCGCAAAUUACCCACUCCUGACACAGGGAGGUAGUGACAAGGAAUAGCAAUGCAGGUGGCAAUUGCCAUUGUGCUAUUGGAAUGAGUGGACUUUAAAUCCCUUUUCGACUAUCGAUUGGAGGGCAAGUCUGGUGCCAGCAGCCGCGGUAAUUCCAGCUCCAGUAGCGUAUAUUAAAGUUGUUGCGGUUGAAAAGCUCGUAGUUGGGUUUCUGCGGAGGAAGCGCGGUCCGCACUUGGUGCGUGUAUCUGGUCUACCUACGCAUCUUCCAGUGAAACGCUACUGCGCUUUAUUGCGUGGCGCGGCAAUCUGGACUUUUACUUUGAGGAAAUUGGAGUGUUUACAGCGAGCGAUUGGUUUGAACAUAUUAGCAUGGAAUAAUAACCUAGAACCUUGGUUCUAUUUUGUUGGUUUCUAGACUAGGGUAAUGAUCAAUAGGGAUAAUUGGGGGCAUUUGUAUCAACACGUCAGAGGUGAAAUUCUUGGAUUGUGUUACGACGAACCACUGCGAAAGCAUUUGCCAAGGAUGUUUUCAUUGAUCAAGAACGAAAGUGCAGGGAUCGAAGACGAUUAGAUACCGUCGUAGUCUGCACCGUAAACUAUGCCGAUUAAAGAUUGGAGGUCGUUCUUAUUGUGGCUCCUUCAGUAAUUUAUGAGAAAUCAAAAUUCUUGGGUUCCGGGAGGAGUAUGGUCGCAAGGCUGAAACUUAAAGGAAUUGACGGAAGGGCACCACCAGGAGUGGAGCCUGCGGCUUAAUUUGACUCAACACGGGGAAACUCACCAGGUCCAGACAUAGCAAGGAUUGACAGAAUGACAGCUCUUUCUUGAUUCUGUGGGUGGUGGUGCAUGGCCGUUCUUAGUUGGUGGAGUGAUUUGUCUGGUUAAUUCCGUUAACGAACGAGAUCUUAUCCUGCUAAAUAGGAACGUGUGUCUUCGGACAUGCAGGUUGCUUCUUAGAGGGACUUUGCGAAUUGCAGCGUAGGGAAGGUUGAGGCAAUAACAGGUCUGUGAUGCCCUUAGAUGUUCUGGGCUGCACGCGCGCUACACUGAUGCGUUCAACGAGUAUGCCUUGUCCGGCAGGACUGGGGAAUCUUGUGAAAGCGCGUCGUGAUGGGGAUAGAACACUGUAAUUAUUGUUCUUCAACGAGGAAUUCCUAGUAAGCGCGAGUCAUCAGUUCGUGUUGAUUACGUCCCUGCCCUUUGUACACACCGCCCGUCGCUCCUACCGAUGGAGUGGUCCGGUGAAUAAUUCGGAUCGAGAUCUGAAGCUCACGCUUCAAUUUUCGAAAAGUUUAGUGAACCUUAUCACUUAGAGGAAGGAGAAGUCGUAACAAGGUUUCCGUAGGUGAACCUGCAGAAGGAUC
RNAcentral lists this ribosomal RNA (1792 nucleotides) under uncultured eukaryote. Its description in RNAcentral is "SSU rRNA". It matches the Rfam family "Eukaryotic small subunit ribosomal RNA". The record is from RNAcentral.